GACGAACGCUGGCGGCGUGCUUAACACAUGCAAGUCGAACGGUGAAGCGCCUUCCUUUUUGGUGGGUGUGGAUGAGUGGCGGACGGGUGAGUAACACGUGAGUAACCUGCCCCCUUCUUCUGGAUAACCGCAUGAAAGUGUGGCUAAUACGGGAUAUUCUGGGUCUGUCGCAUGAUGGGUCUGGGAAAGAUAUUGUUUCGGUGGGGGAUGGGCUCGCGGCCUAUCAGCUUGUUGGUGGGGUGAUGGCCUACCAAGGCGGUGACGGGUAGCCGGCCUGAGAGGGUGGACGGUCACACUGGGACUGAGACACGGCCCAGACUCCUACGGGAGGCAGCAGUGGGGAAUAUUGCACAAUGGGCGCAAGCCUGAUGCAGCGACGCCGCGUGAGGGAUGGAGGCCUUCGGGUUGUGAACCUCUUUCGCCAGUGAAGCAGGCCUGCCUCGUUUGUGGGUGGGUUGACGGUAGCUGGAUAAGAAGCGCCGGCUAACUACGUG
Molecule: ribosomal RNA, 494 nt
Filed under: uncultured bacterium
Lineage: Bacteria
Description: partial 16S ribosomal RNA
Rfam family: Bacterial small subunit ribosomal RNA
Source: RNAcentral